Polypterus senegalus (gray bichir) is the source of this 1411-nucleotide long non-coding RNA. RefSeq lists it as uncharacterized. Lineage: Eukaryota; Metazoa; Chordata; Cladistia; Polypteriformes; Polypteridae. The record is from RefSeq and is a predicted model, not a curated record. The transcript is spliced from 3 exons.
AGGAUCAGAUUCCAAACCCCUAAUCUUUACUGAAUGUACCCCAAGGAUGAGGAAGUGUUUCACCAGCUCCUUUAUGUCUUGAGUGGUGGCCAUUGCAGCGAUUGUUACCUUCAGUUCGGACAGAUUGAUUCGGUCUUCCCUGUGCUCAGCUGGUGAAGUGGUAUGCCCAGUUAAAGUCGAUGUUCCCGGCUCGUGAGGAAUAGUUCACAAUACGGAAGGAGCUGUCACGUGACAACGAUCGGCUCACCAAUUACGUGACAGAAUGUGAUGGUAUAAGUAUGGCAAUGGUUUCAACAAGUCUCAUCCCUUGGUUGGAUAAAAUUCAAUAAAAAAUAUUCUUAUAUUAGUUAACUUUCGAACAUGUUGGCCUUUGUGUCAGUUUUCAUUUUGGUUUAUUGAAUUCCUUCUGCCUUCAACUGUGUUUCUUGUGUUAUUCCUCUUGUUUUGUUUGCCUUAUUGUUUUGCCUAUUUUAGUAUUGUCUUUUCCUUUAGAAAAGAACAAAAAGCAAGAACCAACCUAGGAAAUUAUUAUGACUUUUGUCAUUAAUAUAAAGAUACGUAUUCAACAUAAACCAGCCUAGACUUCUCAAUCUAUCCAAUAGCUGUCUUAAGGACUGUAAAAGAAAACUAAAUGCCACAUGGCCACUAAAUACCUGUCGCUCACCUGACCAUUGGGAGUGUGUCAUGAGUGCUGGUCAAGGGAAAUAUGGGCAAAAGACUGAAGACGUAACACAGCCACUAAUCAUGCUUCCAUUCCCCUGUUUGAAAUGGAGAAAAAGCCACAGGAAGACUCCUAAAAUCACUUCUGCUCACAUUAAUCAAGUCCCGCCCCUUCCAUUCCAGAAGAUAUUUAAUGAAACUAGAAGUCAAAGUUCAUUUGGAAAACAGCUUGCAGGAGAAACUGAGCUCCUGACCAGCAGAAGAAUUAUCUUUAAGACUAGCACAGCACGGCAAUUGCACUUAUAUUUCUUUCUUUGAGUUUUGUCCUUAUUUCAACAAGGACAUUAAAUGGGAUUCCCUCAGGACCCCAGCUGUUUAUGUAUUUGCUUUGAUAUAUUUUGUUCUCCACACUGAAAAUAUUUCAGAAAUCACAUUCCUGCAUAAGUUUGUUAGGAAAACGGAUGGAUAGAUAGAUGGAUUGGUCCAUACAUUGUUUGGUGGUAGAAUCAAGCAAGAAGUAGAUAAUGUAAUUAAUUUCAUGGAAUUAUUACCAAAGACACAUAAUAAAUAUAAGAAAAUAGAUCAUGAUUCAAUAAACAAGCUAAAUUACAAAUAAUGUACUUUAUACUAUGUAUUAUUUUUACUCUUCUUAUUAUUAACAAGUUUUAAGCAGUCUUAUCUUACAGACAGACCUCAGUAUGUGCAUCUCGGGAACUGCAGGUCUGACAUUGUGGUCAGCAACACAGGAGCG